GAUUAUUUGUAAUCAUGUGUCCUCAGUUAUUUAUGUAAAUUGGAUCCCUCCAUCCAAGUAAUUUUCACUAAACCAGUUCAUUGGCUUAAUUAGUUGAUAUUUCCAAAUAAAAUGUAAUUGAGUUGUCACUCAAUCAGUGAAUCUGGCAACCUUUUCUGCAUUCGGAGCAUGACCUCAAAGCCCCGCCCCGCAUUUCAGCGGUCUUUCACGACCAGACACGAACUACACGUGCGUGUUCCAUAUCUCGACUUGGUUGGCAGAGUUUGACUGAGACGGAAUGUGAAUAUGGAACCAUAAAGACUUGAACAGGAAGUCACAACAGUCUUCAAGAACACGAGGAGCAUCAGCCUUUGUAUGCACAAUAGUAACUACUUAGGACCACAAAAGCAAGACACCUGGCCAUACAGACGGCACUUUCAUUCAGGAAGACCGACCACUGAUAACUCCGUUCUCUGCGAGAGUCCAGCGAUGCGGCUCUUCAUCCCGUUCAGACAUUAAU
This is a long non-coding RNA of Solea senegalensis (Senegalese sole), 499 nucleotides long. RefSeq lists it as uncharacterized. The record is from RefSeq and is a predicted model, not a curated record. Lineage: Eukaryota; Metazoa; Chordata; Actinopteri; Pleuronectiformes; Soleidae. The transcript is spliced from 3 exons.